This 303-nucleotide ribosomal RNA is filed under the name uncultured bacterium. RNAcentral describes it as "bacterial SSU rRNA". It matches the Rfam family "Bacterial small subunit ribosomal RNA", at positions 355 to 675 of the family's 1533-position model. The record is from RNAcentral.
UGGGGAAUAUUGCACAAUGGGGGAAACCCUGAUGCAGCGACGCCGCGUGAGUGAGGAAGUAUUUCGGUAUGUAAAGCUCUAUCAGCAGGGAAGAAAAUGACGGUACCUGACUAAGAAGCCCCGGCUAACUACGUGCCAGCAGCCGCGGUAAUACGUAGGGGGCAAGCGUUAUCCGGAUUUACUGGGUGUAAAGGGAGCGUAGACGGUUAAUCAAGUCAGAAGUGAAAACCCAGGGCUCAACCUUGGGACUGCUUUUGAAACUGAGUAGCUAGAGUGCAGGAGAGGUAAGCGGAAUUCCUAGUG